GAUGAACGCUGGCGGCGUGCCUAAUACAUGCAAGUCGAGCGAACGGACGAGAAGCUUGCUUUUCUGAUGUUAGCGGCGGACGGGUGAGUAACACGUGGAUAACCUACCUAUAAGACUGGGAUAACUUCGGGAAACCGGAGCUAAUACCGGAUAAUAUUUUGAACCGCAUGGUUCAAAAGUGAAAGACGGUCUUGCUGUCACUUAUAGAUGGAUCCGCGCUGCAUUAGCUAGUUGGUAAGGUAACGGCUUACCAAGGCAACGAUGCAUAGCCGACCUGAGAGGGUGAUCGGCCACACUGGAACUGAGACACGGUCCAGACUCCUACGGGAGGCAGCAGUAGGGAAUCUUCCGCAAUGGGCGAAAGCCUGACGGAGCAACGCCGCGUGAGUGAUGAAGGUCUUCGGAUCGUAAAACUCUGUUAUUAGGGAAGAACAUAUGUGUAAGUAACUGUGCACAUCUUGACGGUACCUAAUCAGAAAGCCACGGCUAACUACGUGCCAGCAGCCGCGGUAAUACGUAGGUGGCAAGCGUUAUCCGGAAUUAUUGGGCGUAAAGCGCGCGUAGGCGGUUUUUUAAGUCUGAUGUGAAAGCCCGCGGCUCAACCGUGGAGGGUCAUUGGAAACUGGAAAACUUGAGUGCAGAAGAGGAAAGUGGAAUUCCAUGUGUAGCGGUGAAAUGCGCAGAGAUGUGGAGGAACACCAGUGGCGAAGGCGACUUUCUGGUCUGUAACUGACGCUGAUGUGCGAAAGCGUGGGGAUCAAACAGGAUUAGAUACCCUGGUAGUCCACGCCGUAAACGAUGAGUGCUAAGUGUUAGGGGGUUUCCGCCCCUUAGCGCUGCAGCUAACGCAUUAAGCACUCCGCCUGGGGAGUACGACCGCAAGGUUGAAACUCAAAGGAAUUGACGGGGGCCCGCACAAGCGGUGGAGCAUGUGGUUUAAUUCGAAGCAACGCGAAGAACCUUACCAAAUCUUGACAUCCUUUGACAACUCUAGAGAUAGAGCCUUCCCCUUCGGGGGACAAAGUGACAGGUGGUGCAUGGUUGUCGUCAGCUCGUGUCGUGAGAUGUUGGGUUAAGUCCCGCAACGAGCGCAACCCUUAAGCUUAGUUGCCAUCAUUAAGUUGGGCACUCUAAGUUGACUGCCGGUGACAAACCGGAGGAAGGUGGGGAUGACGUCAAAUCAUCAUGCCCCUUAUGAUUUGGGCUACACACGUGCUACAAUGGACAAUACAAAGGGCAGCGAAACCGCGAGGUCAAGCAAAUCCCAUAAAGUUGUUCUCAGUUCGGAUUGUAGUCUGCAACUCGACUACAUGAAGCUGGAAUCGCUAGUAAUCGUAGAUCAGCAUGCUACGGUGAAUACGUUCCCGGGUCU
Molecule: ribosomal RNA, 1372 nt
Filed under: uncultured bacterium
Lineage: Bacteria
Description: bacterial SSU rRNA
Rfam family: Bacterial small subunit ribosomal RNA
Source: RNAcentral